This is a non-coding RNA of Podarcis lilfordi (Lilford's wall lizard), 78 nucleotides long. Lineage: Eukaryota; Metazoa; Chordata; Lepidosauria; Squamata; Lacertidae. The record is from the annotation of a GenBank genome assembly.
UGGGCUGUUGCUCAGUGGUAGAGCGUCUGCUUUGCAGGCAGAAGGUUGCAGGUUCAAUCCCCGGCUUCUCCAGCUGAA